UUUGAUCAUGGCUCAGGACGAACGCUGGCGGCGUGCUUAACACAUGCAAGUCGAACGAUGAAGCCUAGCUUGCUAGGUGGAUUAGUGGCGAACGGGUGAGUAAUACGUGAGUGACCUACCUUUGACUCUGGGAUAAGCCUGGGAAACUGGGUCUAAUACCGGAUACGACCAAUCUCCGCAUGGGGUGUUUGGUGGAAAGCGUUAUGGAGUGGUUUUAGAUGGGCUCACGGCCUAUCAGCUUGUUGGUGAGGUAAUGGCUUACCAAGGCGACGACGGGUAGCCGGCCUGAGAGGGUGACCGGCCACACUGGGACUGAGACACGGCCCAGACUCCUACGGGAGGCAGCAGUGGGGAAUAUUGCACAAUGGGCGCAAGCCUGAUGCAGCGACGCCGCGUGAGGGAUGACGGCCUUCGGGUUGUAAACCUCUGUUAGCAUCGAAGAAGCGAAAGUGACGGUAGGUGCAGAGAAAGCGCCGGCUAACUACGUGCCAGCAGCCGCGGUAAUACGUAGGGCGCGAGCGUUGUCCGGAAUUAUUGGGCGUAAAGAGCUUGUAGGCGGUUGGUCGCGUCUGCUGUGAAAGGCUGGGGCUUAACCCUGGUUUUGCAGUGGGUACGGGCUAACUAGAGUGCAGUAGGGGAGACUGGAAUUCCUGGUGUAGCGGUGGAAUGCGCAGAUAUCAGGAGGAACACCGAUGGCGAAGGCAGGUCUCUGGGCUGUAACUGACGCUGAGAAGCGAAAGCAUGGGGAGCGAACAGGAUUAGAUACCCUGGUAGUCCAUGCCGUAAACGUUGGGCACUAGGUGUGGGGGACAUUCCACGUUUUCCGCGCCGUAGCUAACGCAUUAAGUGCCCCGCCUGGGGAGUACGGCUGCAAGGCUAAAACUCAAAGAAAUUGACGGGGGCCCGCACAAGCGGCGGAGCAUGCGGAUUAAUUCGAUGCAACGCGAAGAACCUUACCAAGGCUUGACAUAUACUGGACUGCGUCAGAGAUGGCGUUUCCCUUCGGGGCUGGUAUACAGGUGGUGCAUGGUUGUCGUCAGCUCGUGUCGUGAGAUGUUGGGUUAAGUCCCGCAACGAGCGCAACCCUCGUUCUAUGUUGCCAGCACGUGAUGGUGGGGACUCAUAGGAGACUGCCGGGGUCAAACUCGGAGGAAGGUGGGGAUGACGUCAAAAUCAUCAUGCCCCUUAUGUCUUGGGCUUCACGCAUGCUACAAUGGCCGGUACAGAGGGUUGCGAUACUGUGAGGUGGAGCUAAUCCCUAAAAGCCGGUCUCAGUUUCGGAUUGGGGUUCUGCGAACUCGACCCCUUGAAGUCGGAGUCGCUAGUAAUCGCGGAUCAGCAAACGCUGCGGUGAAAUACGUUUCCCGGGCCUUGUACACACC
This 1382-nucleotide ribosomal RNA is filed under the name uncultured bacterium. Its description in RNAcentral is "bacterial SSU rRNA". It matches the Rfam family "Bacterial small subunit ribosomal RNA". The record is from RNAcentral.